CAAUAGCGUAUAUUAAAGUUGUUGCAGUUAAAAAGCUCGUAGUUGGAUUUGUGGCGUACGGUGUGUUCCGGGCACUUGUUGUCUGAGUAACCUGCUGUUGCCAUCCUUGGGUGGAACCUGGGUGGCAUUAGGUUGUCGUGCAGGGGAUGCCCAUCAUUUACUGUGAAAAAAUUAGAGUGUUCAAAGCAGGCUUAUGCCGUUGAAUAUAUUAGCAUGGAAUAAUGAGAUAGGACUUUUUUGCUAUUUUGUUGGUUUGCGCAAAGAGGUAAUGAUUAAUAGGGACAGUUGGGGAUAUUCGUAUUCCAUUGUCAGAGGUGAAAUUCUUGGAUUUUUGGAAGACGAACUACUGCGAAAGCAUUUACCAAGGAUGUUUUCAUUAA
This 380-nucleotide ribosomal RNA is filed under the name uncultured eukaryote. RNAcentral describes it as "partial 18S ribosomal RNA". It matches the Rfam family "Eukaryotic small subunit ribosomal RNA", at positions 592 to 976 of the family's 1831-position model. The record is from RNAcentral.